Molecule: long non-coding RNA, 1476 nt
Filed under: Marmota monax (woodchuck)
Lineage: Eukaryota; Metazoa; Chordata; Mammalia; Rodentia; Sciuridae
Source: RNAcentral
AAGGGGGUUGCUAAAGGGGUCUUGACCCAGUAUUUGGGUCCCUGGAAGAGGCCAGUGGCCUACUUGUCAAAAAAGCUGGGCCCUGUGGCGGCCAGCUGGCCACCUUGCUUGAGGAUGAUAGCUGCCACUGCCCUAUAAUGAUAAAGGAAGCCAACAAACUAACCUUAGGACAAGAGAUAUAUAUCACCACCACCCCCCCCAAUGCCAUCGAAGGAAUCCUGAAGCAACCCCCAGAACGGUGGCUAAGCAACACCUGGCUCACCCAUUAUCAAGGGCUGUUACUUAACCCUCUCAGAAUAACCUUUUAGGCAUCUCAGCUCUCAACCCCACAACCCUGCUACCCGACCCCAACUUGGAGGCUCCCUUGCAUGACUGUGCACAGAUCCUAGCACAGGUCCGCAGCAUCAGAGAAGACCUCCAGGACCAGCCAUUGCCGGAUGCAGAGCUUGGUUGCAUGCAGAGCUUGGAUGCGCAGAGCUUGGAUGCGGAGCUCCUCUGGUUCACGGAUGGGAGCAGCUUCAUUCCACAAGGUCAGAGAUAUGCAGGCGCAAGGUGGUAACAGAGACUGAAGUAGUAUGGGCUGAGCCCCUCCCGACAGGAACAUCAGCCCAGAGAGCUGAACUGAUAGCCUUGACCCAAGCACUAAUGCUAGGAAAAGACAAAAAGCUGACUGUGUACACCGAUAGCCAGUAUGCUUUUGCCACCGUCCACACACAUGGCGCCAUCUAUAAGAAAAGAGGGCUACUGACAGCUGAAGGAAAGACUAUUAAAAAAGAAGAGAUAUUGGCCCUUAUUACAACCCUAUGGUUGCCUAAGAAAUUGGCCAUUGUCCACCGUCCAGGACAUCAGAAACCUAAGGGCAUGGUAUCCAGAGGGAACAAUCUGGCAGAUAAAACCGCUUGGGAAAUAGCCAUGCGAAGAGAGAUUGUGAUGAUAGCCAACCUGCCUGAUCCAGACCGAAGCCUACCAGAAAUGCCACAAUAUUUCAAAGAGGACUUAGAGUGGAUUAAAGGACUGCCUAUGACUCAGUGCCUUAAUGGAUGGUGGCGAGACUCCCAAUGUCAUGUGAUAGUAUCUGAAAAGUUAGGCAACAGAAUUUUGCAGUGAAUGCAUCGCUCCACCCACAUGGGUGAGAGAAAAAUGCAGGACCUACUAAGCCAUGCUAAGAUAAAGAUUUAAAAUGCAAAUUCCAAGAUCCAGCAGAUUGUUGCUACCUGUAAGGCCUGCCAGCUGACGAAUGCGGGCCACAGCACAAUCAACCCUGGGAAUCCGGUAAGAGGAGACGAGACAGAACAGGAGCCUAUUGGGAAGUAGACUUCACUGCGGUAAAACGUGGCAAAUAUGGAUAUAAGUACCUUUUAGUUUUUAUAGAUACUUUUUCAGGAUGGGUAGAAGGAUUUCCAACUAAGCGUGAGACAGCUCAAGUAGUAGUUAAAAAGUUGCUGGAAGACAUCUUACCCAAGUACAGCUUCCCAG